CAUUUCCCCUAUCAGACUCUGUUGCCUUCCCCGUAAAUGCUCCCAGGAAUUAAUAUUGCGAGAUGAUGUUGACGCCUGGGAGUCAGUCUAUUUCUGGACAAAAUAUUGGCACUUAGUUCCUUUUCCUUUGAGAAGGCUCAUGAGAAUCCAAGCAUAGCAAUAAUGGCCUCUAUGUGGAGUGUCCACUAACUGGCGUUUGUAAUCAAAUGUCUCAGGUAUCCUUGUACUUAAUCUUCCUGGUAACCCUGAAAAGUAGGCAAUGUCCACUUUGCAGAUGUGGAAACUGAGGUCAAAGACAUUAAGCAACCUGCCUUUUCCUCACCAGCUUCUAGUACACUGCUCCAUGCCUCCCUAGCACUGUACAAAUAACAGGGAUUUUAUUUGCUGCCCCCACUGUGUCCAUGAUAGCUUUCAGAUUUGCCCCUCCUGCUAGCCAAGCCUGAGCCCAGGACACUCCUGAUGCAGCAUCAGGUCCCACUGACUCCUGCAACUUCAGCCACACUUUUAACCUCCCACCACACCCUGGCAUCAUUAGUCCUAAGCAGCACCCAGCAGAGAUGCCACUAAAGAAAGGUGACAACUGUCAGGCAGGCCGUGAAAGCUCCUUGCUGCUUACCAGCGUCUCCAGCUCACUCUCUACCACAGGCAGGCAUCGCUUGCCUGCUUCUCCCAGGCUCUUCGCAGCCAAGCUUAGUCAUGCCCCUACUCGCUUCUCUCACCUCAGAGACACCGCCUACCUCAUUUUUACUGUGCUCCCCCAUCCCCUGAGGCAGACUGUAUUUUCCAAAAACAGACACAGCAAUAUUUCUAGUCCACAUGCUGUCCCAGCACUUUUACACUCUUCAUCAAGAGAUGGAGUCUAUUUCCCCCUCCUUGAACCUGAGUGGGGCUUUGUUACUAACCUAAGGAACAGAAUAUAGCAGAAGAAAAACUGCAUUAUUUCCAAGGUUAGGUCAUAAAAAAUGAUAUGGCUUCCA
RNAcentral lists this long non-coding RNA (977 nucleotides) under Homo sapiens (human). RNAcentral's name for it is "HSALNT0052983". Lineage: Eukaryota; Metazoa; Chordata; Mammalia; Primates; Hominidae. The record is from RNAcentral.